GGUUAAGCGACUAAGCGUACACGGUGGAUGCCCUGGCAGUCAGAGGCGAUGAAGGACGUGCUAAUCUGCGAAAAGCGUCGGUAAGGUGAUAUGAACCGUUAUAGCCGGCGAUGUCCGAAUGGGGAAACCCAGUGCAAUUCGUUGCACUAUCGUUAACUGAAUACAUAGGUUAACGAGGCGAACCGGGGGAACUGAAACAUCUAAGUACCCCGAGGAAAAGAAAUCAACCGAGAUUCCCCCAGUAGCGGCGAGCGAACGGGGAGCAGCCCAGAGUCUGAAUCAGCUUGUGUGUUAGUGGAACGGUCUGGAAAGUCCGACGGUACAGGGUGAUAGUCCCGUACACCAAAAUGCACAGGCUGUGAACUCGAAGAGUAGGGCGGGACACGUGGUAUCCUGUCUGAAUAUGGGGGGACCAUCCUCCAAGGCUAAAUACUCCUGACUGACCGAUAGUGAACCAGUACCGUGAGGGAAAGGCGAAAAGAACCCCGGCGAGGGGAGUGAAAAAGAACCUGAAACCGUGUACGUACAAGCAGUGGGAGCACCUUCGGGUGUGACUGCGUACCUUUUGUAUAAUGGGUCAGCGACUUAUAUUCUGUAGCAAGGUUAACCGUAUAGGGGAGCCGCAGGGAAACCGAGUCUUAACUGGGCGUUAAGUUGCAGGGUAUAGACCCGAAACCCGGUGAUCUAGCCAUGGGCAGGUUGAAGGUUGGGUAACACUAACUGGAGGACCGAACCGACUAAUGUUGAAAAAUUAGCGGAUGACUUGUGGCUGGGGGUGAAAGGCCAAUCAAACCGGGAGAUAGCUGGUUCUCCCCGAAAGCUAUUUAGGUAGCGCCUCGUGAACUCAUCUUCGGGGGUAGAGCACUGUUUCGGCUAGGGGGUCAUCCCGACUUACCAACCCGAUGCAAACUACGAAUACCGAAGAAUGUUAUCACGGGAGACACACGGCGGGUGCUAACGUCCGUCGUGAAGAGGGAAACAACCCAGACCGCCAGCUAAGGUCCCAAAGUCAUGGUUAAGUGGGAAACGAUGUGGGAAGGCACAGACAGCCAGGAUGUUGGCUUAGAAGCAGCCAUCAUUUAAAGAAAGCGUAAUAGCUCACUGGUCGAGUCGGCCUGCGCGGAAGAUGUAACGGGGCUAAACCAUGCACCGAAGCUGCGGCAGCGACACUAUGUGUUGUUGGGUAGGGGAGCGUUCUGUAAGCCUGCGAAGGUGUGCUGUGAGGCAUGCUGGAGGUAUCAGAAGUGCGAAUGCUGACAUAAGUAACGAUAAAGCGGGUGAAAAGCCCGCUCGCCGGAAGACCAAGGGUUCCUGUCCAACGUUAAUCGGGGCAGGGUGAGUCGACCCCUAAGGCGAGGCCGAAAGGCGUAGUCGAUGGGAAACAGGUUAAUAUUCCUGUACUUGGUGUUACUGCGAAGGGGGGACGGAGAAGGCUAUGUUAGCCGGGCGACGGUUGUCCCGGUUUAAGCAUGUAGGCUGGUUAUCCAGGCAAAUCCGGAUAAUCAAGGCUGAGGUGUGAUGACGAGGCACUACGGUGCUGAAGUAACAAAUGCCCUGCUUCCAGGAAAAGCCUCUAAGCAUCAGGUAACAUUAAAUCGUACCCCAAACCGACACAGGUGGUCAGGUAGAGAAUACCAAGGCGCUUGAGAGAACUCGGGUGAAGGAACUAGGCAAAAUGGUGCCGUAACUUCGGGAGAAGGCACGCUGGUGUGUAGGUGAAGUCCCUGCGGAUGGAGCUGAGACCAGUCGAAGAUACCAGCUGGCUGCAACUGUUUAUUAAAAACACAGCACUGUGCAAACACGAAAGUGGACGUAUACGGUGUGACGCCUGCCCGGUGCCGGAAGGUUAAUUGAUGGGGUUAUCCGUAAGGAGAAGCUCUUGAUCGAAGCCCCGGUAAACGGCGGCCGUAACUAUAACGGUCCUAAGGUAGCGAAAUUCCUUGUCGGGUAAGUUCCGACCUGCACGAAUGGCGUAAUGAUGGCCAGGCUGUCUCCACCCGAGACUCAGUGAAAUUGAACUCGCUGUGAAGAUGCAGUGUACCCGCGGCAAGACGGAAAGACCCCGUGAACCUUUACUAUAGCUUGACACUGAACAUUGAGCCUUGAUGUGUAGGAUAGGUGGGAGGCUUUGAAGCGUGGACGCCAGUCUGCGUGGAGCCAACCUUGAAAUACCACCCUUUAAUGUUUGAUGUUCUAACGUUGGCCCCUUACCGGGGUUGCGGACAGUGUCUGGUGGGUAGUUUGACUGGGGCGGUCUCCUCCCAAAGCGUAACGGAGGAGCACGAAGGUUAGCUAAUCCUGGUCGGACAUCAGGAGGUUAGUGCAAUGGCAUAAGCUAGCUUGACUGCGAGCGUGACGGCGCGAGCAGGUGCGAAAGCAGGUCAUAGUGAUCCGGUGGUUCUGAAUGGAAGGGCCAUCGCUCAACGGAUAAAAGGUACUCCGGGGAUAACAGGCUGAUACCGCCCAAGAGUUCAUAUCGACGGCGGUGUUUGGCACCUCGAUGUCGGCUCAUCACAUCCUGGGGCUGAAGUAGGUCCCAAGGGUAUGGCUGUUCGCCAUUUAAAGUGGUACGCGAGCUGGGUUUAGAACGUCGUGAGACAGUUCGGUCCCUAUCUGCCGUGGGCGCUGGAGAAUUGAGGGGGGCUGCUCCUAGUACGAGAGGACCGGAGUGGACGCAUCACUGGUGUUCGGGUUGUCAUGCCAAUGGCACUGCCCGGUAGCUAAAUGCGGAAGAGAUAAGUGCUGAAAGCAUCUAAGCACGAAACUUGCCCCGAGAUGAGUUCUCCCUGAGACUUUAAGUCUCCUGAAGGAACGUUAAAGACGAUGACGUUGAUAGGCCGGGUGUGUAAGCGCAGCGAUGCGUUGAGCUAACCGGUACUAAUGAACCGUGAGGCUUAACCUU
This 2902-nucleotide ribosomal RNA is filed under the name Klebsiella pneumoniae. Its description in RNAcentral is "23S ribosomal RNA". It matches the Rfam family "Bacterial large subunit ribosomal RNA". Lineage: Bacteria; Pseudomonadati; Pseudomonadota; Gammaproteobacteria; Enterobacterales; Enterobacteriaceae. The record is from RNAcentral.